GACGAACGCUGGCGGCGUGCCUAAUACAUGCAAGUAGAACGCAGUUGCGAACGGGUGAGUAACGCGUAGGUAACUGCCUCAUCGCGGGGGAUAACUAUUGGAAACGAUAGCUAAUACCGCAUACUGUGAGAUGGACCUUCGUUGUAUUAGCUAGUUGGUAAGGUAAGGGCUCACCAAGGCGACGAUACAGAGCCGACCUUAGAGGGUGAUCGGCCAAGCUGGGACUAAGGCGCGGCCCAGACUCCUACGGGAGGAAGCAGUAGGGAAUCUUCGGCAAUGGGCGGAAGUCGGACCGGGCAACGCCGCGUGAGUGAAGAAGGUUUUCGGAUCGUAAAGCUCUGUUGUUAGAGAAGCGGUAACUAGCCAGAAAGGGACGGCUAACUACGUGCCAGCAGCCGCGGUAAUUC
RNAcentral lists this ribosomal RNA (407 nucleotides) under uncultured bacterium. Its description in RNAcentral is "partial 16S ribosomal RNA". It matches the Rfam family "Bacterial small subunit ribosomal RNA", at positions 28 to 526 of the family's 1533-position model. The record is from RNAcentral.